GCGGCGGACGGGUGAGUAAUGCUUAGGAAUCUGCCUAUUAGUGGGGGACAACAUUCCGAAAGGAAUGCUAAUACCGCAUACGUCCUACGGGAGAAAGCAGGGGAUCUUCGGACCUUGCGCUAAUAGAUGAGCCUAAGUCGGAUUAGCUAGUUGGUGGGGUAAAGGCCUACCAAGGCGACGAUCUGUAGCGGGUCUGAGAGGAUGAUCCGCCACACUGGGACUGAGACACGGCCCAGACUCCUACGGGAGGCAGCAGUGGGGAAUAUUGGACAAUGGGGGGAACCCUGAUCCAGCCAUGCCGCGUGUGUGAAGAAGGCCUUAUGGUUGUAAAGCACUUUAAGCGAGGAGGAGGCUACUGAGACUAAUACUCUUGGAUAGUGGACGUUACUCGCAGAAUAAGCACCGGCUAACUCUGUGCCAGCAGCCGCGGUA
This 432-nucleotide ribosomal RNA is filed under the name Acinetobacter junii. RNAcentral's name for it is "bacterial SSU rRNA". It matches the Rfam family "Bacterial small subunit ribosomal RNA", at positions 95 to 522 of the family's 1533-position model. The record is from RNAcentral. Lineage: Bacteria; Pseudomonadati; Pseudomonadota; Gammaproteobacteria; Moraxellales; Moraxellaceae.